This 461-nucleotide ribosomal RNA is filed under the name Prevotella sp. oral taxon 317. Its description in RNAcentral is "bacterial SSU rRNA". It matches the Rfam family "Bacterial small subunit ribosomal RNA", at positions 28 to 478 of the family's 1533-position model. The record is from RNAcentral. Lineage: Bacteria; Pseudomonadati; Bacteroidota; Bacteroidia; Bacteroidales; Prevotellaceae.
GAUGAACGCUAGCUACAGGCUUAACACAUGCAAGUCGCGGGGCAGCAUGGGGGUUGCUUGCAACCCCUGAUGGCGACCGGCGCACGGGUGAGUAACGCGUAUCCAACCUGCCCUUCACCACGGGAUAACCCGGCGAAAGUCGGACUAAUACCGUAUGUUGUCCAUUGACGGCAUCCGAUUUGGACGAAAGGCUUAGCGGUGAGGGAUGGGGAUGCGUCCGAUUAGCUUGACGGCGGGGUAACGGCCCACCGUGGCAACGAUCGGUAGGGGUUCUGAGAGGAAGGUCCCCCACACUGGAACUGAGACACGGUCCAGACUCCUACGGGAGGCAGCAGUGAGGAAUAUUGGUCAAUGGGCGGAAGCCUGAACCAGCCAAGUAGCGUGCAGGAUGACGGCCCUAUGGGUUGUAAACUGCUUUUAUGGGGGGAUAAAGGGACCCACGUGUGGGUUUUUGCAGGUAC